GUUUUAAUAGUUUAAAUAAAACAAUGAUUUUGUAAAUCAUAGAUAGAUAGAACUUUAAAACA
Molecule: transfer RNA, 62 nt
Filed under: unidentified
Description: Ischnodemus noctulus tRNA-Thr
Source: RNAcentral